AGGGAGGAAAAAAAUGAGCAGAAACUGCUAACAUCUGGAGGCUGCUGUCCAGUUUACGUAAUCUCUUGCUGCAGAGGAGGAACACGGGAUCCCCAGCCAGAUGGUCCGUGGGUGACUUCACAGCACAUGUGCUACCUCCAAGAGUUCUUCAUUCCCAUGGUCCACAUGAAGAAAAUGGACCCCAAAGGAACAAAAGCAACAAAGAUAAAAAUUCCUUCUCCUCCCAUGGGGGUGGGAGGUGAAGAACGAAGCAAGCAAACACUCAUAGAGAAAUGUGCAGGGUUCUCUGAGGAACAAGGACCUUCCAGAGUGAUGCUUUUCCCUAGUGGCAGCCUUGGCCAGGGCAACAGACAUCUGCACAAACGCAGGGUGUUGAAGCAGCUGUUCUGAGAUGCAGUGCCUGAGAAUCUGGGAUCCACAAUGUGAACUUCUCAACAACCCCUGCACCUGCCACUUCCCUGAAUCUUCCACUAAGCACCAGAAGACACAUGCAUUUUAAAUCAAAGGAAUGGCUCCCAUGCAGAAACCAGAGUGUUAAAAUGGAUCCCUCCCACCCUGAACUCUGACUGGUUUGGUUCACCUCAAAGACCAUCCUCCUGCUAUAUGGUUUCGAUAAGUCUAAAAAGAUGAGCCAUUCAAGCCACAGUGUCUUCUAUCUCCAAGCUGGUGAGACACACUGCAGUCCUCUACAGAACAGAAGAGAGACAGUGCACAAGAUUGCUCUUGGGUAAGUUUUCUUUUUCUUAUGU
RNAcentral lists this long non-coding RNA (749 nucleotides) under Homo sapiens (human). Its description in RNAcentral is "HSALNT0154548". The record is from RNAcentral. Lineage: Eukaryota; Metazoa; Chordata; Mammalia; Primates; Hominidae.